Long non-coding RNA from Acipenser ruthenus (sterlet), 1071 nucleotides. RefSeq lists it as uncharacterized. The record is from RefSeq and is a predicted model, not a curated record. NCBI's taxonomy places the organism in Eukaryota, Metazoa, Chordata, Actinopteri, Acipenseriformes, Acipenseridae. The transcript is spliced from 3 exons.
AAAAUGAAUGGGUUAAAGAAUACACUUUGUAAAUAAUAACUGUGUGUUAAAUAAGGGAAAGUACAAAUGAAGAAAAAGUAUGGUUUAAAACAAAUAUUUAUUAUUGUUCAGAGACAAUACCUGGGGGACACUAGGACCAGGUGGAAGCUACUGGAGUCAAGGCUGGCUCCAGUUCAAAUUAAUUAUCCAAUUUAAUGACAUGUCAAUUGUUUAAUGAUAUAAUUGGUUACCAUUUAAAAUGUCUGUUUGGUGAGUGUUUGAACGAGGGUGAUGGUAGGAGCUGAGUUGGAGAGUGGGAGAGGAAAACAAGGAAAACAAGGAAAACAAGGAAAACGAGUAUUCGUAUUGUGAACUGGUUAACGACAUUUUGGAAAGGAACUCGAAAGCAGAUGUCAGAGAGCUAGCGACCGCUGGAGGACAAAUGCCAGCCCUGCAGGUGUCCGCUUUUGAGCUCACUGGGCACUUGGCCAGCAGGGUUCGCUGUAGCAUGAUUGGAUAAAGUGUCAGAGCCAAUGCAACGCUUCCUUAGGAGUCCCCAGUGAAAAUCGGCCUACUUCGCACAGCCAGGAUGUGAGCCUGCACUGCACGAUUUACCCUGCGCACCUCGCCACUACGCUUCUACCAGGUACUGUGGCCAGGUGAUAAUGGCUGAUGUGUAAUGCUGGCUCUGGAGAUCAUCCAAGCUGCGGCCUCCCUGGCACAUCAGCACACACCAUGGUGCAGAUGCUAGCUCCAGCCAGCGUCUCAGCAAGGCAACCGUCUGGAGUGGGUUUAUACACCUUCUCCAAUGUUCCUGCCAGUAAAGCCCAUGUGGCAUACUAAGUGCAUCAUGGACUUGCCAACGAAGCCUCUGCAUCUCACUUCCACUGGGCAGAUGGAUGUCUCUCAGCUCUUUCUCCUUGAUGCAAAAAACUCCCUAUGAAUCCAACCAUACUCAUCCAAACUAUCCAUAAAUGGUUCUAUUUAAAUUCUAUUAAUACAUAUUUCUAUAUACAUGUUUUUAUUUAAAUAGUGAAACACAUGAAAUAUUGUAUUGCUAAUAUUUUUCUCCAUCUGGCUAAACAAAUGAUA